GGACGAACGGCUGGCGGCAACGCCUAACACAUGCAAGUCGAACGGUGUAUUGGAGCUUGCUCUGAUAACAUAGUGGCGGACGGGUGAGUAACACGUGAGCAACCUGCCUCUGAGAGAGGGAUAGCUUCUGGAAACGGAUGGUAAUACCUCAUAACAUAACGAAACCGCAUGAUUUUGUUAUCAAAGAUUUAUCACUCAGAGAUGGGCUCGCGUCUGAUUAGGUAGUUGGUGAGGUAACGGCUCACCAAGCCGACGAUCAGUAGCCGGACUGAGAGGUUGAACGGCCACAUUGGGACUGAGAUACGGCCCAGACUCCUACGGGAGGCAGCAGUGAGGGAUAUUGCACAAUGGAGGAAACUCUGAUGCAGCGAUGCCGCGUGGAGGAAGAAGGUUUUCGGAUUGUAAACUCCUGUUUCGAGGGACGAUAAUGACGGUACCUCGGGAGGAAGCUCCGGCUAACUACGUGCCAGCCGCUGC
This 477-nucleotide ribosomal RNA is filed under the name uncultured bacterium. Its description in RNAcentral is "bacterial SSU rRNA". It matches the Rfam family "Bacterial small subunit ribosomal RNA", at positions 35 to 518 of the family's 1533-position model. The record is from RNAcentral.